GCUUCUGUAGCUCAGUUGGUGGUAGCGUCCCUCUCAUAUGUUGAAAGGGGAAGGUCGUGAGUUCGAGCCUCACCAGAAGCA
Molecule: transfer RNA, 81 nt
Organism: Schizosaccharomyces cryophilus OY26
Lineage: Eukaryota; Fungi; Ascomycota; Schizosaccharomycetes; Schizosaccharomycetales; Schizosaccharomycetaceae
Rfam family: tRNA
About the family: Transfer RNA (tRNA) molecules are approximately 80 nucleotides in length. Their secondary structure includes four short double-helical elements and three loops (D, anti-codon, and T loops).
Source: Rfam